Long non-coding RNA from Juglans microcarpa x Juglans regia, 690 nucleotides. RefSeq lists it as uncharacterized. Lineage: Eukaryota; Viridiplantae; Streptophyta; Magnoliopsida; Fagales; Juglandaceae. The transcript is spliced from 2 exons. The record is from RefSeq and is a predicted model, not a curated record.
CCUCAUGUAUCGCCCACUUUAUUGUAUUCGUUUAGACAGUCGGUCACAAUGUCACAUAGUCACGACUCACAGCUAGAGUGGGACAGACAGAAGACACGCACGCAAAGGCAAAAAACAACGCCUAAAAAUGUUCUCAGCCGCUUAUAACGCACACUACUUAAACAUGUUUAUUCUUUGCUUUGCUGCUCUCUUACGAUGGGACAAGGGAAGGGAACAGCGUCAAGGGUUGCUUCUCAAGGGAAACAAAAGAAAGUAGGAGGAAGAAGGAAGAAAAAACCCACCUUUUACCUCAUUAUUUAUCUGGCUAUCUUGUAAUGCUAGAGUUGUGGAGGGGGUGGCAGCAGGAGCGAAGCAUGGAGAGGCAGCUUGCAACUUGGAAGAGUGAAUCAUGUUUUAUCUUUCUCAUCAGAAAGUUUCUGAAGAAAACGGGUUCCUUCGGCUUAUAUUUUGGUUUCUCAGGUUAUAGAAGCAAUCCCAUUUCCCAAGUUCAAUCUUCGCAACUAGUUCUGUUCUUCCUGAUCCUCUUCUGCUUCUUUCCAUAUUGAUUAUGGUUUUGGUGGUGGUGAUAUUGGCGGGAUCGGCUCAAUCUCUUAAUUUUUUUAACAGUUUCUUAGUGUCCCUUUUCAAUUACUCUUUUAUCGAUGAUCGAUGUUGUUCAUACCGAAAGUUAAUGAAGAAGUUGUUCGUUCU